AUUGAACGCUGGCGGCAGGCCUAACACAUGCAAGUCGAGCGGAUGAAGGGAGCUUGCUCCUGGAUUCAGCGGCGGACGGGUGAGUAAUGCCUAGGAAUCUUCCUGGUAGUGGGGGAUAACAUCCGGAAACGGGCGCUAAUACCGCAUACGUCCUGAGGGAGAAAGUGGGGGAUCUUCGGACCUUACGCUAUCAGAUGAGCCUAGGUCGGAUUAGCUAGUUGGUGGGGUAAAGGCCUACCAAGGCGACGAUCCGUAACUGGUCUGAGAGGAUGAUCAGUCACACUGGAACUGAGACACGGUCCAGACUCCUACGGGAGGCAGCAGUGGGGAAUAUUGGACAAAGGGCGAAAGCCUGAUCCAGCCAUGCCGCGUGUGUGAAGAAGGUCUUCGGAUUGUAAAGCACUUUAAGUUGGGAGGAAGGGCAGUAAGUUAAUACCUUGCUGUUUUGACGUUACCAACAGAAUAAGCACCGGCUAACUUCGUG
RNAcentral lists this ribosomal RNA (484 nucleotides) under uncultured bacterium. RNAcentral's name for it is "partial 16S ribosomal RNA". It matches the Rfam family "Bacterial small subunit ribosomal RNA", at positions 30 to 507 of the family's 1533-position model. The record is from RNAcentral.